Molecule: ribosomal RNA, 443 nt
Filed under: uncultured bacterium
Lineage: Bacteria
Description: partial 16S ribosomal RNA
Rfam family: Bacterial small subunit ribosomal RNA
Source: RNAcentral
CCUACGGGAGGCAGCAGUGGGGAAUAUUGGGCAAUGGGCGCAAGCCUGACCCAGCAACGCCGCGUGAAGGAAGAAGGCUUUCGGGUUGUAAACUUCUUUUAUCAGGGACGAAGCAAGUGACGGUACCGGAUGAAUAAGCCACGGCUAACUACGUGCCAGCAGCCGCGGUAAUACGUAGGGGGGAAGCGUUAUCCGGAUUUACUGGGUGUAAAGGGCGUGUAGGCGGGAGUGCAAGUCAGAGGUGAAAACUAGGGGCUCAACCCAUAGCCUGCAUUUGAAACGGUACUUCUUGAGUGCUGGAGAGGCCAUCGGAAUUCCGUGUGUAGCGGUGACAUGCGUAGAUCUACGGAGGAACACCAGUGGCGCAGGCGGAUUGCUGGACCGUACCUGACGCUGAGGCGCGACCGCGUGGGGAGCAAACCGGAUUAGCUACCCGGGUAGUC